UCGUACCGUAAACCGACACAGGUGGAUGGGGAGAGAAUCCCAAGGCGUACGGGACAAUGUUCGUUCAGGAACUCGGCAAAAAAGCGGCCGUACCUUCGGUAUAUGGCCUGACCUUUUAUAUGCUGGGUAGUGAGAAAUAAUGGCUGACAUUCGAUCCCCAAAGACCGCAGGUUGGUGGGAGCUGCGAUCCGGUAGGGGUCGGGUGUCAGUCUGGAAAAAUCGUAUGGAGGGUCCAUACGACGCGUUAACGAAACUCGUGUUUAUAUCCGGAUUUGCCGGCAACCAUGUGGCCUGAAGGGUCGCAGUCUUGGUUGUUCAGGCGGCGAGCGAUCCGGCUUUGCAGCUCACGAGCUAGUUACAAGCUAAUCUGUAGAGCCCGUUUUUUGGAACGGGGACGGACACAACAAACUCCGUCUGUGAGUUUCCAUCUAUAGAGUAGUUAUUGCUUGUGUCGGAGUCUUCGCUCCGGACGCGUUCGUCUUGUCUGCGGUUAGUUGCAGCACCAUGUCAGUUCAACGACACUGGUGUCUGCAGCUUUCCGCGGACCAACCUAAAAAUUGCGAUUAGAAAAAUCGUACUCACUACCCAGUAUAUAAAAGGCCCGCAGCGAAAGACCUCUCCCGACUGUUUACCAAAAACACAGGUCCGUGCUAAAGCGCAAGCUGAUGUAUACGGGCUGAUGCCUGGCCAGUGUCAGAAGGUUAAGAGAACUUGGGCAACCUCGUUCUUCAAGCCCUGAUGAACGCCGGCAGUAACUAUAACUGUCCUAUGGUAGCGAAAUUCCUUGUCGCGUAAGUUGCGACCCGCACGAAUGGCAUAACGAGUAGAGGACUGUCUUGACGAACAACCCGAUGAAUUUACAGUGACGGUAAAGAUGCCGUCUGCCCGCAACAAGACGGAAAGACCCUAUGAAGCUUUACUAUAGCGUGCUAUUGAAAUAAGAACUUUGCUGCUUAGCAUAGGUGGGAGACUCUGAAGCGCCGCUCUGGCGGUUGCUGAGUCGAAAUGUGAAAUACCACCCUGUAAAAUUUUUGUUUCUAACCAGUACUUAACCUAUACUGGGACAGUGGCUCGUGGGUAGUUUAACUGGGGCGGUUGCCUCCUAAAUGGUAACGGAGGCGUUUAUUAAGGUAAGCUAAACGCGGAUGGAAAUCGCGUUGAUAGUGCAAACGCACAAGCUUGCUUGACUGCAAGGCCAGCGAGCCGCGCAGGUACGAAAGUAGAAGUUAGUGAUCCGAUGCGUUAGAGUGGAAUACGCAAAGCCCAACGGAUAAAAGUUACUCUAGGGAUAACAGGCUGAUCCUGUCCAAGAGUCCACAUCGACGACAGGGUUUGGCACCUCGAUGUCGGCUCAUCACGUCCUGGGGGUGGAGAAGCUCCCAAGGGUUAGGCUGUUCGCCUAUUAAAGUGGUACGCGAGCUGGGUUCAAAACGUCGUGAGACAGUUUGGUCCUUAUCUGUUGUGGGUGUACGAAAUUUGAGUGGGCACAUCUCUAGUACGAGAGGACCGAGAUGUAUGGACCUCUGGUGUACCCGUUGUCGCGUCCGCGGCAUGGCGGGGUAGCUAGGUCCAGUUCAGAUAAGCGCUGAAGGCAUAUAAGCGCGAAGCUGUCCACAAAACUAGAUUUCGUUGUUCUAGUUUACUAGAACGUAAGAUUCGCAGAAGACUACUGCGUAUUAUAAUCAAGAAUUUUAUGGAUGAUUUGUAGCAAUACAAAUUUGAAGUGAAGUUUACGAUU
Molecule: ribosomal RNA, 1738 nt
Filed under: groundwater metagenome
Description: bacterial LSU rRNA
Rfam family: Bacterial large subunit ribosomal RNA
Source: RNAcentral